UACGUAGGGGGCUAGCGUUGUCCGGAAUUAUUGGGCGUAAAGAGCUUGUAGGCGGUCUGUCGCGUCUGCUGUGAAAAUCCGGGGCUCAACCCCGGACUUGCAGUGGGUACGGGCAGACUCGAGUGUGGUAGGGGAGACUGGAAUUCCUGGUGUAGCGGUGAAAUGCGCAGAUAUCAGGAGGAACACCGAUGGCGAAGGCAGGUCUCUGGGCCACUACUGACGCUGAGAAGCGAAAGCAUGGGGAGCGAACAGG
RNAcentral lists this ribosomal RNA (253 nucleotides) under uncultured bacterium. RNAcentral describes it as "partial 16S ribosomal RNA". It matches the Rfam family "Bacterial small subunit ribosomal RNA", at positions 524 to 776 of the family's 1533-position model. The record is from RNAcentral.